UAUAAAUAUAAUGUUUAAAAAAUAAUUUUAAAUUAUUUUAAUGUUAAUGUGGUAUGAUAGUAUAUUGUAUAAGUGUUUUUUUUUUUCAUGCAGAUUGUACAGGUGGUAUUAAUGAGUCAAAUUUCAAACAUCACACGUCUUUGUAGUAAACAGACAAAGUAAUUAUUUGCCAGACAUUUUCUUUGAUCUUUUCUUUUGAUCUUUUCUUUGAUCUUUCUUUGAUCUUCUAGACAAAAUACAGCAAGUCACUAUAGUCACUACAGUCAUUAUAGUCAUUAAUUUAAGACGUUUUUCUUGACAGAAGAAACCUCCACUUGUCUGCCACAUUUUUAAUAAAUGGCAAAAAUGUGAAUAUCUCAUAAAAAAGAAAGAUAAAAAUGAAUUGUGGAAACUGCUACAGAAAAUCAAGCUAAUUUGUCUUGUGACUAAAAUACACUAUGUGGCUAAAAGUGGUUGAGGAAUAAAACGCUCCAGUAAACUUAAUAAUUAGACUAAUAUCUGCACCUGCACAUAAAUAAAUAUUCAACAUUAUUCAUGAGAAAAGUGAAGGGGUGUGUAAAAAAAAAUUUAACAAAUCAUGAGUCCUUGAGAAGGUUUUUGAAGCCCUGUGUUAAGUUAAGCUAGCUAAACUUUAUUUCAUUUAUGUAUUAUUUAUUAUUAAAAAUGUUUUGUGGUGACCUGAAUGUUAACAAUAAAUGGAAAACUAAUAAGAAAUCAGAAAAGGUUUUAAUGUUCAGCCAGGAAAACUAUAAUAAUUAAUAGAAUAUAAUGUUAAAUGUUAAAUAAAGCAUAUUUAAGUUAAAAUACAACAAAAAAUAAAACCCUACAGACAGUCAUAAAAUCAGUAUUCCAGUAACAUGAGGUUAUAUAUAAAUUCAAAUUGAUCAUAAAUUGAUCCAGAAAGUACUCUGCACCUUUUCCUCAGAUAAAUGAAUUUAUUUUAUAGACAGUGGUUUAGGAGGUGAACAUCUUCAUGAUUCUCUGUUCCUGUGUUUUUUAAGGCAUGAGACGACGUCUGUAUCCUUGAGCAAUGUUCGGCGUCCCUUCCCCACUCAGCAUGCUUCAUUCCCAGUGCGUCCAGCUCCUGUGUCUCACGGCGUCCAGCGGCGUUCCGCUCUUCUCCCGCGGCUCCGCCAAGCAGCUGCCCUUCUCCAUCAUUGGUUCCCUGAACGGCGUGCACAUGUUCGGGAUGGGUCACGAUGCCGCUCUGUCCUGCUGCGAGACUGAACAAGGUGGACGUGUGCUCUGGAGAGUCUUCCACGACAGCCUGAUGCUCAUCGGCAUCAGCAGCAACGCUAACGUGAGCGAGCUGCACUUGCGCCGUUUGCUGGAGAACGCCUGGAACUGCAUGGUGCUCGUGCUGGGCCUGGACGAGCUGGCGAACGCGCGGAACAUAGAGCGGCUCAAGAGAGAGCUGCGCUCUUGUUAUCGGUUAAUCGACAUGCUGCUUGAACGCGGCGUGGACGAUCGUGAUCGUGAUCAGGGCCUCAUGGGAGAUCUGACGCACUGCACUGACUGUAUACUGCUCCCUCAACCUGACCUCCUCCAGGAGACGCUGGAGUCCUUCACCCGGGCUGCAGAGAGCGAGUUUGGCUGUUUGCUUAUCCGCGGUCGACUCGCAGUAGCUACGGAGAAAUGGUGGCGUCUCGCUCCACAAGAGCUCGUCCUUCUUUCUGCCCUCGCAAAUUUGCCCCCUGGGAAAACAUCAUGUGACUAUCCAGUCUUUUUACCCCAAGGUAGCCCUAAUGUCGCGCUCAGGCUGCUGUGCUUCCAGCUGCUCCCUGGUGCCAUAGCUUGUGUCCUGUGUGGUCCAAGACCGUCUCUGUAUCAGGUCGAGAAUGAGCAGGUCUGCAGGUUUUGGUCUCCCGUGGUGGAGAACCUGCGAUCCUGCUCGGACCAAGCCGAACGCUCGGCUCUGUCUCCUUCCGUUAGCCUCCGCAGGGACGUCCUAGCUCUUCUCUUAAUAAACCGCGAGUCGCGUAGAUCAGUGGCAUCUCUCGGCCACGCCUGCUCGAAAGCCACGCCUCUUCUCUCACCGGCUCGGCGCUGGGAGCUUCUGCGCCUCUUUUACACGUUUGCAGUGACUCGCUAUUUCACCUCGGAGGAGUCUCCGAGCUCAGAGUGUCCUCCUGCAGAGCUCCAUGAGGAGUUUUCCGCAGGGUUCACUCACCUGCCCGUGCACUGCUACCUCGUGACUGAUGAAUGUAAAUGCUACGCCGUGCAGACGCCUCAGCACCAGCUCUUCCUCCUCACUGACCUCUCCGUGCCCACAUUCGCGUUGCGCUCCGCCACCACACACACUCUGGAUGCCAUCACCACGGCGACUGGCUUUUAGGGCGCCAGACAGUGUAGGAGUAAUCACUUGGAUUAUAUGGUGCUAUUUUGGAGGUUUUGGCAAAGUGAGAUGUACACAAAGUCUAAAAGGGUUGGCAUUUGUCUAAAAAAAAAUAAUAAUAGUGUGCAUGGCUGAUUUUCCUGUAUAUUUAAUACAAGAAUUGAAAACAGAAUGUGAUUAAAAACACAGGCAGGGUGAAAAUUAACAAUAUUGCUGCACUAAUUAGUCAAAUCAUGAAAAGGCAGAAUAUCACUGUAACUUUUUUUUAAAGAAUCAUUUCACCUGUAAUAGUCCCAAAUUACUUCCUAUUCAUUACAAAUGCUCACUACAUAGGGUCUAACAUACAAAUGGAAGAAUGACUGUUGCUUAAUUACUUAUAUAUAAUUUCACUUUUAGCAGCCAUGAUUUAAAAAUAUCGAACAUAAAGUUCAUCAUUAAUGCAUUUCUUUUUCAAGUCCUUUUUCUACAAUACCACUAGGCUCAUUUCCCAGAGCUACAUUAGAUGAUGUAGGAUCUAAUGAACAAUAUGGAUAUUUUUUCCCUUUAAAUAUUAUGAAAUUGUUUAUAGCACUUGAACAGUGAAAUUCUGACAUCUGUAAAGGAAUUAUGAAAUAAUAACAAUGCAAGCAAAUGCAGAACUGAGCUGUGUAGCCAAGAAUGUAAUCAGCAGUAUUUAUUAGUAUCACUAAUCUAAGAUGAUUUGUAGCAUUUUAUCGUUUUUAGCUUUAGUGUUGUUAUCCAGCUAGCCCAAUAGUCUGCCUCUUUAAACUCAGUGCACACACCAACAGUGUGAUAAACAGCGAUCAGUCUAGAAAUAUUCUUAUUUUUGUUAAAUUAUGAAUUAUUAUACAUUUUUCCUCCAUCUUGCUCCUGUCAAAAGUUGUGUUCUAAUUGAGUUGAUGCAGUGUUUACAGUGCAGUAAUUGAAUUAAGUGGAAAAGACACUUUAGCAGGAGGCAGCUUUAGUAGGAAGCAAUCAUGCAGGAAGUCUAUAAAAUGCGAAUGACUUUGAUAAAUAAGUGAAAUGUUCCCGUGUCUCUUGUUGUGAUGUGGGCAGCACGGUGGCCUCCCAUCCAGCGUGGUUCUCCCAGCGUUCCCGGGAUAGGCUCUGGAUCCACCGGAUCCUGACCAGGAUAAAGUUCUGACUUACUGAAGAUAAAUGAAUGAAUAUACACAGUCAUCACCAUUCUGCGUAAACGCUAGAGACAAUUGUGUGUGAAAAUCCCAGGAGAUUUUUCCGAAAUUCUCAAACCAGCACUAAGUCUGACACCAACAGCCGUGUCAGGGUCCAGGUCACUGAGAUCACAUUUUUCUCCCAUUCCGAUGUUUGAUGUGAACCUUAACUGAAGUUCUGGACCUGUAUCUGCGUGAUUUUCUGCAUUGCGCUGCUGCCACAUGAUUGGCUGAUCGAAUAAUAGCACGAACAUGCAGGUGUACAGGUGUUCCUAAUAAAGGGGCCAGUGAGUGUAUACAUACGUCCAUAGCACUUGAACUAUGCUGAAUGUUCUGCUCCAGUCUACUGAAUAUCAGAAGUGCAGCUGUGUAUGAAUACUGUACAACAGAAUUCAAUACUACAUUGUAUUUUCAUUAACAAGUUCUCAUCAGUCUUAUUGAUUGAAUUAACUCUUUAAUUAUAUGAAAAGGUUUUGUGUAGCUUUAAAACAUCGACCAGGAAGAGUAAGAAAAGUUAAAACUGUGUUUAAAAACAUGUUUAUCUGCUUUUCACGAUUUUGUAAUAGGUUUGAAAUUCUUUUCUUAACAAUACACAACUAAUUAUAUCAUUAUCCAAAGAAGAGUCGUUCCUAUUUUGUAUUUUAUUGCAGUUAUUCUUUGUAUUAAAUCAUU
Molecule: RNA transcript, 4179 nt
Organism: Pangasianodon hypophthalmus (striped catfish)
Lineage: Eukaryota; Metazoa; Chordata; Actinopteri; Siluriformes; Pangasiidae
Gene: fuz
Gene name: fuzzy planar cell polarity protein
Exons: 2
Source: RefSeq, a predicted model, not a curated record